UGGGGAAUUUUCCGCAAUGGGCGCAAGCUGACGGAGCGACGCCGCGUGAGGGAUGAAGGCCUCUGGGCUGUAAACCUCUUUUAUCAAGGAAGAAGAUCUGACGGUACUUGAUGAAUAAGCCACGGCUAAUUCCGUG
Molecule: ribosomal RNA, 136 nt
Filed under: uncultured bacterium
Lineage: Bacteria
Description: partial 16S ribosomal RNA
Rfam family: Bacterial small subunit ribosomal RNA
Source: RNAcentral